Molecule: ribosomal RNA, 253 nt
Filed under: uncultured bacterium
Lineage: Bacteria
Description: partial 16S ribosomal RNA
Rfam family: Bacterial small subunit ribosomal RNA
Source: RNAcentral
UACGGAGAGGGCAAUCGUUAUUCGGAAUUAUUGGGCGUAAAGGGCGCGUAGGCGGCUUGACAAGUCGAAGGUGAAAUCCCUCGGCUCAACUGAGGAAUGGCCUUUGAAACUAUCUCGCUAGAGGCCGGGAGAGGGUAGCGGAAUUCCCAGUGUAGCGGUGAAAUGCGUAGAUAUUGGGAGGAACACCGGUGGCGAAGGCGGCUACCUGGACCGGUUCUGACGCUGAGGCGCGAAAGCGUGGGAAGAAAACAGG